GCUUACGGCCACACCGGCCUGAGUACGCCUGAUCCCGUCCGAUCUCGGAAGCUAAGCAGGGUCGGGCCUGGUUAGUACUUGGAUGGGAGACCGCCUGGGAAUACCAGGUGCUGUAAGCU
Molecule: ribosomal RNA, 119 nt
Filed under: Oncorhynchus mykiss (rainbow trout)
Lineage: Eukaryota; Metazoa; Chordata; Actinopteri; Salmoniformes; Salmonidae
Source: RNAcentral